GGCCAGUUAGCUCAGUCGGUUAGAGCGUGGUGCUGAUGAUACCAAGGUCGCGGAUUCGAUCCCCAUUUGGUCC
This 73-nucleotide transfer RNA is filed under the name Apaloderma vittatum (bar-tailed trogon). It matches the Rfam family "tRNA". Rfam says of the family: Transfer RNA (tRNA) molecules are approximately 80 nucleotides in length. Their secondary structure includes four short double-helical elements and three loops (D, anti-codon, and T loops). Lineage: Eukaryota; Metazoa; Chordata; Aves; Trogoniformes; Trogonidae. The record is from Rfam by way of RNAcentral.